This 583-nucleotide ribosomal RNA is filed under the name Microcystis aeruginosa C6. RNAcentral describes it as "bacterial SSU rRNA". It matches the Rfam family "Bacterial small subunit ribosomal RNA", at positions 119 to 736 of the family's 1533-position model. Lineage: Bacteria; Bacillati; Cyanobacteriota; Cyanophyceae; Chroococcales; Microcystaceae. The record is from RNAcentral.
GAGAAUCUAACUUCAGGACGGGGACAACAGUUGGAAACGACUGCUAAUACCCGAUGUGCCGCAAGGUGAAACCUAAUUGGCCUGGAGAAGAGCUUGCGUCUGAUUAGCUAGUUGGUGGGGUAAAGGCCUACCAAGGCGACGAUCAGUAUCUGGUUUGAGAGGAUGAGCAGCCACACUGGGACUGAGACACGGCCCAUACUCCUACGGGAGGCAGCAGUGGGGAAUUUUCCGCAAUGGGCGAAAGCCUGACGGAGCAACGCCGCGUGAGGGAGGAAGGUCUUUGGAUUGUAAACCUCUUUUCUCAAGGAAGAAGUUCUGACGGUACUUGAGGAAUCAGCCUCGGCUAACUCCGUGCCAUCAGCCGCGGUAAUACGGGGGAGGCAAGCGUUAUCCGGAAUUAUUGGGCGUAAAGCGUCCGCUGGUGGUCAGCCAAUUCUGCCGUCAAAUCAGGUUGCUUAACGACCUAAAGGCGGUGGAAACUGGCAGACUAGAGAGCAGUAGGGGUAGCAGGAAUUCCCAGUGUAGCGGUGAAAUGCGUAGAGAUUGGGAAGAACAUCGGUGGCGAAAGCGUGCUACUGGGCUG